GGCCGUUCUAUCGCUUGGUUACAUAAAAUGGACUGAGAGGAAAGUCCGGGCAGCACGAGCCACCAUGCUUCCUAACGGGAAGGCACGCUGUUAAUGCGUUAAUGUGUUAAUGGGGUGACAGCAAGCGCCACAGAAAACAAACCGCCUUUCUUCUGGAAGGGCAAGGGUGAAAACGCGGGGUAAGAGCCCACGACGUGUCGCGGUGACGCGCACGAUGGCAAGCCUCAUGGGCUGAAAGACCAUGUAAACCAACCGGUCUGACGACCGUGGGUAGGCUCGCCCAUAAAAACGGUGUUGUCAGCUGGGCUGACACCCGUCCAAGGUUGGAGGGUAGGUUGAUUGAGACCGUCGGUGACGGCGGUUCCAGAUUGAUGAUAGAACACGACAGAACCCGGCUUACAGACUUUC
This 408-nucleotide RNase P RNA is filed under the name bovine gut metagenome. Its description in RNAcentral is "Bacterial RNase P class A". It matches the Rfam family "Bacterial RNase P class A". Rfam says of the family: Ribonuclease P (RNase P) is a ubiquitous endoribonuclease, found in archaea, bacteria and eukarya as well as chloroplasts and mitochondria. Its best characterised activity is the generation of mature 5'-ends of tRNAs by cleaving the 5'-leader elements of precursor-tRNAs. The record is from RNAcentral.